UAUUAAAAAUUUCAUCUAUUUGUAUUGUUAAAAACUGGCUUGGUUGUGGAAUAACCAGAUAGUGAUAUAUGACGUGCCACGUAUACCUCAUGCUAACAUAGAUGGACCAAUUUUUAAUAGUAGAAAUGGAUGAAAUUUUUAACU
Non-coding RNA from Gossypium raimondii (Peruvian cotton), 144 nucleotides. The record is from Rfam. NCBI's taxonomy places the organism in Eukaryota, Viridiplantae, Streptophyta, Magnoliopsida, Malvales, Malvaceae.